This 489-nucleotide ribosomal RNA is filed under the name uncultured Arthrobacter sp. Its description in RNAcentral is "partial 16S ribosomal RNA". Lineage: Bacteria; Bacillati; Actinomycetota; Actinomycetes; Micrococcales; Micrococcaceae. The record is from RNAcentral.
CACGUAGUUAGCCGGCGCUUCUUCUGCAGGUACCGUCACCAACCCAAAAGGCCGGCUUCUUCCCUACUGAAAGAGGUUUACAACCCGAAGGCCUUCAUCCCUCACGCGGCGUCGCUGCAUCAGGCUUGCGCCCAUUGUGCAAUAUUCCCCACUGCUGCCUCCCGUAGGAGUCUGGGCCGUGUCUCAGUCCCAGUGUGGCCGGUCACCCUCUCAGGCCGGCUACCCGUCGUCGCCUUGGUAGGCCAUUACCCCACCAACAAGCUGAUAGGCCGCGAGUCCAUCCAAAACCACAAAAGCUUUCCACCAACAUGGCAUGCGCCAGAAGUCGUAUCCAGUAUUAGACCCGUUUCCAGGCUAUCCCAGAGUCAAGGGCAGGUUACUCACGUGUACUCACCGUUCGCCACUAAUCCACAGCAAGCUGGCUUCAUCGUUCGACUUGCAUGUGUUAAGCACGCCGCCAGCGUUCAUCCUGAGCCAGGAUCAAACUCU